GGAUUAGAUACCCUGGUAGUCCAUGCCGUAAACGUUGGGCACUAGGUGUGGGGGACAUUCCACGUUUUCCGCGCCGUAGCUAACGCAUUAAGUGCCCCGCCUGGGGAGUACGGCCGCAAGGCUAAAACUCAAAGGAAUUGACGGGGGCCCGCACAAGCGGCGGAGCAUGCGGAUUAAUUCGAUGCAACGCGAAGAACCUUACCAAGGCUUGACAUACACCGGAUCGUUCCAGAGAUGGUUCUUCCCUUUUGGGCUGGUGUACAGGUGGUGCAUGGUUGUCGUCAGCUCGUGCCG
RNAcentral lists this ribosomal RNA (294 nucleotides) under uncultured bacterium. RNAcentral describes it as "partial 16S ribosomal RNA". It matches the Rfam family "Bacterial small subunit ribosomal RNA", at positions 775 to 1067 of the family's 1533-position model. The record is from RNAcentral.